Small nuclear RNA from Molossus molossus (Pallas's mastiff bat), 163 nucleotides. RefSeq annotates it as U1 spliceosomal RNA. The record is from RefSeq and is a predicted model, not a curated record. NCBI's taxonomy places the organism in Eukaryota, Metazoa, Chordata, Mammalia, Chiroptera, Molossidae. The transcript has a single exon.
AUACUUACCUGACAGGGAGAUACCAUGAUCAUGAAGGUGGUUUUCCCAGGGUGAGGUUUAUCCAUUGUAUUGUGGAUGUGCUGACCCCUGUGAUUUUCCUAAAUGUGGGAAACUCAACUGCAUAAUUUGUGGUAGCGGGGGACUGUGUUCAUGCUCUCCCCUG